GGAGUUAGCCGGUGCUUCUUCUGCGAGUAACGUCACAGAUGUAAGGUAUUAACUUACACCCUUUCCUCCUCGCUGAAAGUGCUUUACAACCCGAAGGCCUUCUUCACACACGCGGCAUGGCUGCAUCAGGGUUUCCCCCAUUGUGCAAUAUUCCCCACUGCUGCCUCCCGUAGGAGUCUGGGCCGUGUCUCAGUCCCAGUGUGGCUGAUCAUCCUCUCAGACCAGCUAGGGAUCGUCGCCUAGGUGAGCCUUUACCUCACCUACUAGCUAAUCCCACCUGGGCUUAUCCAUCAGCGCAAGGCCCGAAGGUCCCCUGCUUUCCCCCGUAGGGCGUAUGCGGUAUUAGCAGUCGUUUCCAACUGUUAUCCCCACAAAUGGGCAAAUUCCCAGGCAUUACUCACCCGUCCGCCGCUCGUCAUCUUCAAAGCAAGCUUUUGAAUGUUACCGCUCGACUUGCAUGUGUUAGCUCGCCGCCACGCGUCAUACUGAGCCGAGAGUACAACUACUGA
Molecule: ribosomal RNA, 509 nt
Filed under: uncultured bacterium
Lineage: Bacteria
Description: partial 16S ribosomal RNA
Source: RNAcentral